Glycine soja is the source of this 1195-nucleotide long non-coding RNA. RefSeq lists it as uncharacterized. The transcript is spliced from 5 exons. NCBI's taxonomy places the organism in Eukaryota, Viridiplantae, Streptophyta, Magnoliopsida, Fabales, Fabaceae. The record is from RefSeq and is a predicted model, not a curated record.
AUUAUAUUUUCUCUUCUUUUUGUGUUUUUCAUCUUCGUUUUUCACCUAAAAUCAUUCUUUUUCCUGAUUUAUGAUGGAUGUGAAAUUUUUUUUCAAUCUCUCUUGUUGGGGAUUGGGUAUAUCAAUCAGAAACGGAAGACGCGUACGCAGAUGAGUUGGAAACGACUGGAAAAGCGAAAAAAAAGCACCGAAAAACGUUGCGCCACCUUGAUUACUCUCUCGCGGAAGACAAAGGCUCGGUAGGAUAGGUUGGUCCUUGAGCUGCUUGUGUCAGCACAAAGGAGAGUUGUAUUGAUCCCUCAAGGAACGAUCCAGACAUGGGUGACUCAGACAAAUGCGGGUUGUAUAUCGAAAAAAUCCUUCCUGCCUAGUUGUCUUAGGAAAAGUUUAUGAGGGAUCCACAAUCGUUCACAACAUUCCUUUGUUGUAUGAUAAAGUCAAGGUUGGUGUUGAAGAGGUUAGAGAUGCAGAUACUCUCAUUCCUGUACCCACUGAAGAGGUUAAGGUCAUAGAGCAGACACUUAACACCUUCCUUGCUUGGUCGACACAUCUUGUCAAGCGUUUAUCAGAACAUGAAGUUGUGGGACCCGCGAAACCUGCAAAUUGGCCGGAUCAUGAGGUCGAUGAUCCCCAAUAUCUGAUGACAUUGACCAUCCCACAACUUUUUCUGAAGCCGUUGUAGGUUAUGUGGGAUGCUACCUUGUUUGGCCUGUUUAAUGAAGACUUUCUCUUAUAUAUAAAGCAUGAAGAUCUGUCUGAAAUAGCACAUGAUGGUCAAUGUCUCAGCAUCUCUAUUAUACAGUUAUGGAUUCUGCAUAUGACUGAGACAAGUAUGCGAGUGGGGAAUAACAAUGUGUAUGGAUUCCUCUAGCUACAGUCUAUCCAGAGAUCUGGCCAAUUGCAAUCUGAAUUAGAAAGUUACAUUAAGAACUGGAUGCAAAAUUCAAAACGGAAUGUGUACCUAGAAGCCUACCUAAAUGGUAUUUCACUGAUGCUAAACCAUUGGAACCAGAGAGAUUGAAGGUGUUUCGUAUACAGUGGACAAAGUACUAUUUGAAAGUUAAAAAUAAAACUUAGGGUGUUUAGACAAUUUUGUAAUUGUAGUUUAUAUUUACUCACUUUACAUUUUUUACAAUUCAUGUCUUAACAUUAAAUAUGCUUUUAAUUCAUAGUAAUUAGUAAAUUUCUCAUGGAA